RNA transcript from Aegilops tauschii subsp. strangulata, 2466 nucleotides. RefSeq lists it as uncharacterized. Lineage: Eukaryota; Viridiplantae; Streptophyta; Magnoliopsida; Poales; Poaceae. The record is from RefSeq and is a predicted model, not a curated record.
CCUCCCCUCCCGCCCGCCCGCCCGGAGCUCCUCCUCCUCCUCCGCCUCCCGCCGCCGCGCCUCGCCGCGCCCCGCCCCGCCCUCCGCUCCAGUCAACCUGAUGGGGUGGGAGAAAAACGAGAAACAUCUCCUCAGCCUUAGUCUCCAAAGCCUACAAUCUUUGUGCAAGGAGUAUAACCUUCCUGCAAACAAGACCCACCCUCAGCUAGCUCGCUUGCUGGCCAUUUAUCUCGAGAAUGAAAAAAACAAUUCAGGACCUGAAAAGGAAAAUUUGACUGUUCCUACUUCUACACAGGCUUCUCCUGCUACCUCUCCUGCCAUGUUACCAAAUACCAAAGAAGCAUCCAAAUGUGAGCAAGAUAACCACAAAAGAGGCCCAUAUAGUGACAGAGAUGAUGAUGAUGUUAGGCCACCAUUAAAGCAUAAAAAAGUGUCUAGAAAACAAGCAGAUAGAAAAUUGAAAAGUGACUCUGGUACCAGAACGAGUCUUCCUCCGAUUUCUAGUAACAAUGGCAAAGGAGACUGCUUUAAUUCAUGUUCUGGACAAGGGAUUGCUCAUAAUGUGAAACAAACUGCUGAUGGUAUUGCAACGUGCUCAACAGCCCCAAAGCUUAAUGGAAAUCAUGUUUCAGUUGCUCCUGUGAAUGACACAAUUUCUUUCGUAGCAAGUCAUCCUGGUCCUAAUGGUGUGGCAUCAAAGCCUCCCAGCCAUAUGAAAGUUGGUACAAAUGGCAUAGAUAAGGGCAGUGGCUUGUCUAAUGAGAACUCGGCAAAUGUAAAAUCUCCUUUUAAACUUUUUCUGAUGGAUGAAGAUGGAAUUGAUCUAUUUGUUGAUCUUAAUUCCACUCCAGGAGAUUGGGUUGGCAGCUUCAAGGGUGGAGUGAACCUCCCUCCAAUCACACAUAACUCUGAAACUGAUAUGUUCACCAAUUCUAUUAGCAGCCUUAGGAAUAAGAAUGAUCAGAACACAAUGUCGCCACCAGAUAAUAUCAUUAUAGAUAUACAAGAUAAGGGACCUGAGAGCAUUGCUGCUUGCACCAGUUCAUCACUAGGUUCAACUGAUGGUGAGAAUUAUCGCUCCAAAUCCAAUCCACGUGAUACCAAUUCUAUUAACUUGAGGUCAUCUGCAUCCACAUUGCCUGGUACUGCUGUUGAAAUUUCUGUAUCUCAGGAGGGACCUCCAGUGGUACAUUCUUCAUGUUUAACAUCUGAUGUUCAGAACAACGUGUCACUUGAUAUGGUGGCUGGUGCUUUGGGUAGCAAUGUGCUUCCUCAAGAAUCUGCUGAUGUCUCCAUGUUGCCUGGAAGAAGCCAUGCACCCCUGACCGAUGAUUCCAUACAACCAACUAAUGAAAGCACAUUUAGUCCUGGUAAAACCAAAGCUUGUGUCAAGAAUGGCUGCACUCAGAAUGUUUUGGAGGCUCAUACUGACAAAGCCGUGUCAUCUUCCCCAGGGCAUGUGGUUAUAAGUGAUACUGACAAAAACUCUCGUCCACCAUCUGUGGGCAAACAGGAAAUGUUAGAUGUUACUUCAGGGGAUCAGCGUACCCGCAACAGUGAUACAAAUGGACUCCUAAUGGAAAACGUACCAACAGCAGCAGUGGCUAUGGAAGAAGAUAAUGGUCAUGGUGGCAGCUUGUCAGUUCGUCAACUAGCCAAUCAUGCGGUAAUUGCACUACCUGCCGCAAAUGCCCAGUCAGAUGCUAGUUCUGCAGAUCGCGGCGUUGCUGGAAACUUCGACCUCACAGAUCCAACACGAUCAUCUGUUGCUUCGUAAAAGGGGAAGAAAGAAGGAAAGCUUGCCCGUAUCAUUCUGGCCUAACUGUGGCCAACUCCACAUGCCCAAAUCUUAGCUCUGCAACUGCAAACCUAUCUAUUUGGACAAUGCUGUUACACCCCUGGCCACGAAUCAUGGUGCAAAGACAGGUAAUAGUCAUGAUUCUGCAGACAAAGAAAAACCGUGUGAUCCUGAGGAGUUGCAGGGUGUGGCUACAAGAAAUAUACUAUGUAGGUUAAGAAGUGCUGCUGCUAAGCAGACCAAGCCCUCUACAGUACCCAGACGGUCAUCAAGGCUUGUCCCAAAGUGAUUGCUAAAAAUGACAGGGAUGAGAUCCACCGCCAAGAAUGAUGCAUAGCUUAACUGCCGUCGUAGUCGAUUUCCAACAGGGAAUACCUUUCUCUAGACUCCAACCUUCACAGUUCUCGUUGAUUCAUCUUGCUAGCAACUGAGUAGCUUUUUUGCAUACUUCUGUCAACAGCUCAAUGCCACCAAAUGUUUUUUGCCGUUCUUCUCUGUUAUACAGCAUCUGUUAUACUUCACACAGUGCCGAGCUCCGCAUACACCAACCAUUGUACAAACAUAUCAUGAUUGUUAGGAAAUUUUUGAACCUGCAGUAUGUCACAUUGUUUUCCAGAUGGGCAAUAGAUGCCGUCGUACUGUACUGUAAUAUAUGGCUGGUUGUGAUU